ACUAACCUGAAAUGUGCGAUAAAGUCUUGUUAUUUUGAACCUACAGAUACUUUAAACGGGAUUCCUAUAUCGUCAUGCGGAUGUCAAGCCUCCAGCCGGUUGGCUUUAUGCAGUGGAAGGCAGAAGUGUGAUUGCGGUUACCCACCUAGCUUAGCUAGGAGUCAAAAUACAAGAUCCGGCAUUUUGGGGAUAAU
RNAcentral lists this non-coding RNA (194 nucleotides) under Lachnospiraceae bacterium. RNAcentral's name for it is "6S RNA". It matches the Rfam family "6S / SsrS RNA". Rfam says of the family: E. coli 6S RNA was the first non coding RNA to be sequenced, but its function was unknown until recently. It consists of 184 nucleotides that fold into an extended hairpin structure with a large single-stranded internal bulge. The 6S RNA specifically associates with RNA polymerase holoenzyme containing the sigma70 specificity factor. The record is from RNAcentral. Lineage: Bacteria; Bacillati; Bacillota; Clostridia; Lachnospirales; Lachnospiraceae.